AGUGAACGCUGGCGGUAGGCCUAACACAUGCAAGUCGAACGGCAGCACAGUAAGAGCUUGCUCUUACGGGUGGCGAGUGGCGGACGGGUGAGGGAUACAUCGGAAUCUACUUUUUCGUGGGGGAUAACGUAGGGAAACUUACGCUAAUACCGCAUACGACCUACGGGUGAAAGCAGGGGAUCUUCGGACCUUGCGCGAUUGAAUUAGCCGAUGUCGGAUUAGCUAGUUGGCGGGGUAAAGGCCCACCAAGGCGACGAUCCGUAGCUGGUCUGAGAGGAUGAUCAGCCACACUGGAACUGAGACACGGUCCAGACUCCUACGGGAGGCAGCAGUGGGGAAUAUUGGACAAUGGGCGCAAGCAUGAUCCAGCCAUACCGCGUGGGUGAAGAAGGCCUUCGGGUUGUAAAGCCCUUUUGUUGGGAAAGAAAAGCAGCAGGUUAAUACCACGCUGUUCUGACGGUACCCAAAGAAUAAGCACCGGCUAACUUCGUG
This 492-nucleotide ribosomal RNA is filed under the name uncultured bacterium. RNAcentral describes it as "partial 16S ribosomal RNA". It matches the Rfam family "Bacterial small subunit ribosomal RNA", at positions 29 to 507 of the family's 1533-position model. The record is from RNAcentral.